CACUCUAGAGAGACUGCCAGGGAUAACCUGGAGGAAGGUGGGGAUGACGUCAAAUCAUCAUGCCCCUUAUGCUUAGGGCUACACACGUGCUACAAUGGGUAGUACAGAGGGUUGCCAAGCCGUAAGGUGGAGCUAAUCCCUUAAAGCUACUCUCAGUUCGGAUUGUAGGCUGAAACUCGCCUACAUGAAGCUGGAGUUACUAGUAAUCGCAGAUCAGAAUGCUGCGGUGAAUGCGUUCCCGGGUCUUGUACACACCGCCCGUCACACCACGGGAGUUGGAGACGCCCGAAGCCGAGUAUCUAACCUUUUGGAAGAAGUCGUCGAAGGUGGAAUCAAUAACUGGGGUGAAGUCGUAACAAGGUAGCCGUAUCGGAAGGUGCGGCUGGAUCACCUCCUUUCUAAGGAGA
RNAcentral lists this ribosomal RNA (407 nucleotides) under Clostridioides difficile. RNAcentral describes it as "bacterial SSU rRNA". It matches the Rfam family "Bacterial small subunit ribosomal RNA", at positions 1136 to 1533 of the family's 1533-position model. Lineage: Bacteria; Bacillati; Bacillota; Clostridia; Peptostreptococcales; Peptostreptococcaceae. The record is from RNAcentral.